UACCUUGAUUUCAUUUCCAAGACUUUGGUGU
Molecule: non-coding RNA, 31 nt
Filed under: Rattus norvegicus (Norway rat)
Lineage: Eukaryota; Metazoa; Chordata; Mammalia; Rodentia; Muridae
Source: RNAcentral